AUUCCAGCUCCAAUGGCGUGUAUUAAAGUUGUUGCAGUUAAAAAGCUCGUAGUUGGAUUUCUGGCAGGAGCGACCGGUCGGCCCAUUGUGGUGUGUACUAGUGUUGCAUCUGGCCAUAUUUGUGGAGAGCGUGUGUGGCAUUAAUUUGUCGUGCUCGGGACCCGCAUCGUUUACUGUGAGAAAAUUAGAGUGUUCAAAGCAGGCUUAUGCCUUGGAUAUGUUAGCAUGGAAUAAUAAGAUAAGACUUUGGCGGUCUAUUUUGUUGGUUUGCACGCCAUUGUAAUGAUUGAUAGGGACAGUUGGGGGUAUUCAUAUUUAAUUGUCAGAGGUGAAAUUCUUGGAUUUAUGAAAGAUGAACUACUGCGAAAGCAUUUACCAAGGAUGUUUUCAUCA
RNAcentral lists this ribosomal RNA (393 nucleotides) under Stramenopiles sp. MAST-2D. RNAcentral's name for it is "partial small subunit ribosomal RNA". It matches the Rfam family "Eukaryotic small subunit ribosomal RNA", at positions 582 to 975 of the family's 1831-position model. The record is from RNAcentral.